RNAcentral lists this ribosomal RNA (453 nucleotides) under uncultured Bacteroides sp. RNAcentral describes it as "partial 16S ribosomal RNA". It matches the Rfam family "Bacterial small subunit ribosomal RNA", at positions 341 to 792 of the family's 1533-position model. Lineage: Bacteria; Pseudomonadati; Bacteroidota; Bacteroidia; Bacteroidales; Bacteroidaceae. The record is from RNAcentral.
ACGGGAGGCAGCAGUGAGGAAUAUUGGUCAAUGGGCGGAAGCCUGAACCAGCCAAGUCGCGUGAAGGAUGAAGGUAUUAUGUAUUGUAAACUUCUUUAGACGCAGAGAAAUAAGGUGCUCGUGAGCACUGAUGCUAGUAUGCGUAGAAUAAGGAUCGGCUAACUCCGUGCCAGCAGCCGCGGUAAUACGGAGGAUCCGAGCGUUAUCCGGAUUUAUUGGGUUUAAAGGGAGCGCAGGCGGAGAUGCAAGCCAGCCGUAAAAUCGUCGGGCUCAACCCGAUCUCGCGGUUGGAACUGCAUCCCUUGAGUGCGGGAGAGGAAGGCGGAACUCGUGGUGUAGCGGUGAAAUGCAUAGAUAUCACGAAGAACUCCGAUCGCGAAGGCAGCUUUCCGGCCCGUAACUGACGCUGAGGCUCGAAGGCGCGGGUAUCAAACAGGAUUAGAUACCCUGGUA